AUGGUGGCCAAGCCAGCCGACAUCCCCAUGCAGAUUCAACGGACUCAGACAAUUUUUUCUCUCCCUUAAACAAUGUCUUCCCUGUGUAAUCCUAAAAGCAAGCCUGGAGAACUCUCAGAUUUCCUGGUUGAAGGUUCUCCAAGUUCCCUUGUUUAAGGACAGAUUUACUCUCACUGAAUCUACAGAAGAGAAUUUGAAAAAUGCAAGUGUCUCUACCUUAAGCAAAGCAGAGAGGAAGGGGGAGCUCUUCAGAUGACCCUCACCUUGGGCCUUUUCUUUCUCCCUAUUUAGAGUGCCAGGCACCUAGGUUCUGGCUGGCAGCACUCUGCAAGUGGGAGCUUUGGAUGUGAUGACUAAGGAAGAGAUGUUGUUUGUCAUUCUUAUAAAUAGCUUUCUGAGACAGCUGAUCUGGAAGACAACUGAAUGCUUGAGCCCAGCACAACUCCAUUACUCUGUGAAUUCUUUUCUGCCAUUAGGAUUUAGUGAAGGGAAGGUGAAGUGCACAUCAAGGAAAUAGAGAGGGACAAGCUCUUCAUUCUUUCAUCCUUCCACUGUCCUCUAACUCUGUGGGAGUGUGUGAGCUCCCUGUGACAGCAUCCUCCAGGAAGCUUAUUAGGAAAGAACAAUCCCAGGCCUCAUAUCAGAUCUCCUGAAGCAGAAUCUCCAUUUUUUUUUUUUCUUGUGAGUGAAAUUGGCCCUGAGCUAAGAGCUGUGCCAAUCUUCCUCUAUUUUAUGUAGGACACCGCCACAGCAUGGCUUGACAAGCUGUGCUAGGUCUGUGCCUGGGAUCUGAACCUGCAAACCCUGGGCUGCCAAACUGGAGCAUGCAAACUUAACCACUACACCCGGGCCGGCCCCCAGAAUCUCCAUUUUAACAGAAUCCCCAGGGAUUGCCAUGUGUACUAAAGUUGGUGGAGCUUUGGUCUAACUCAUCGUGGGGCCGUCUGGUUUAAAGUGGUAUUGCAGCAUUGAAAGUUUAAGGAGAGACAAGGUCCAUGAGCCAGAAUCUGGUAUGGUGGUGGCAGAGUGACUGUUUCCUGUAUUUGGGCACUGCCAGCAGCUUGAUUCAGAAGACGGAUGACAAAUUUGUCACCGGGCUGCCUGGAUAAACACCAAGACCAUGGGAUCAUUUGCUUAAAGGAAAGGAGCUCGUCAGCGAUAUGAGACUCAUUUGAACAAGAGUCCAGGCUACCACAUCAUACCAAAUGUGCCUUGAAUAGUCAGGCCCCCCAGUUGUAUUCUAGUUGUGAGUGCCUCCGAUUGUGCUAUGUGGG
Equus caballus (horse) is the source of this 1274-nucleotide long non-coding RNA. RefSeq lists it as uncharacterized. Lineage: Eukaryota; Metazoa; Chordata; Mammalia; Perissodactyla; Equidae. The record is from RefSeq and is a predicted model, not a curated record.